GCAAACAGUGGUCGGGUCUCAGGUCACCUACAAUGAAGCAACCUUGUGAAAAAGGGCUGACUAGACCUGUUCUUCAGUUGACCACAAUAAAAACCAACACUGACAGCAGCCUGGGAGCAUGCUGAUACCACCUACCUCGUCAGACU
This is a long non-coding RNA of Thalassophryne amazonica, 146 nucleotides long. RefSeq lists it as uncharacterized. NCBI's taxonomy places the organism in Eukaryota, Metazoa, Chordata, Actinopteri, Batrachoidiformes, Batrachoididae. The transcript is spliced from 3 exons. The record is from RefSeq and is a predicted model, not a curated record.